Molecule: RNA transcript, 2193 nt
Organism: Microplitis demolitor
Lineage: Eukaryota; Metazoa; Arthropoda; Insecta; Hymenoptera; Braconidae
Gene: Pect
Gene name: ethanolamine-phosphate cytidylyltransferase
Exons: 7
Source: RefSeq, a predicted model, not a curated record
GGCAGCACUCGAUUCAUUUCAGUUCGGCUUCAGUUCUCCGUGUGUUUCGACGUCACUUUUUUUAAUUGAAUGUAUUAAAUACAUUUGAUUUGUACUCUGGUUAAUUUAUUUAAAGUAUUUAUUUACUAAAAAUUAAAUUAUUAUUUAUUUUUUAAUUACAAUACUUAUGAAUAAUUUUAAUUAAUUUAUUAAUAUAAAAAUAGAUCUAUAUUUUUAUACAAAUAUGAGUGAAAAACGUAAAGAAGUUCGUGUAUGGUGUGAUGGAUGUUAUGACAUGGUACAUUUUGGACAUGCUAAUUCUCUGAGACAAGCUAAAGCUCUUGGUGAUUAUUUAGUUGUUGGAGUACAUACUGAUGAAGAAAUAUCAAAACAUAAAGGACCACCGGUUUUUACACAAGAGGAAAGGUACAAAAUGGUACGAGGUAUAAAAUGGGUAGAUGAAGUUGUUGAAGGUGCUCCUUACGUUACAACUCUAGAAACAUUAGAUAAAUAUAAUUGUGAUUUUUGUGUACACGGUGAUGACAUCACAAUGACAGCUGAUGGAGUUGAUACAUAUCAUCUUGUAAAAGCUGCAGGUCGAUAUAGAGAAGUUCAAAGAACAGCUGGUGUUUCAACGACAGAUUUAGUAGGACGUAUGCUACUGAUGACUAGACAACAUUUCAAACAAGGUGACAGUGAAUACAGUGUAGAUAGAGAACCGAGCGAAAGUAUGGGUCAAGAUAGAUCAGCUCGUAGCCCCUGGACAGGAUGCUCACAAUUUUUACCUACAACUCAAAAAAUAAUUCAAUUCAGUGAUGGAAAGAGUCCACAACCUGGUGAUAAAAUAGUUUAUGUUGCUGGAGCGUUUGAUUUAUUCCACGUUGGGCAUUUAGAUUUUUUGGAAGUUGCUAAACGGGAAGGGGAUUAUUUAAUUGUUGGAUUACACACUGAUCCAGCAGUUAAUCGUUACAAAUGUGGUAAUCAUCCUAUUAUGAAUCUUCAUGAACGAGUUCUCAGUGUACUAGCUUGCAAGUACGUCAAUGAAGUCGUUAUUGGUGCGCCUUAUGAAGUGACGAAAGAUUUAAUGGAACACUUUAAUGUUUCCGUUGUUUGUCAUGGUCAAACACCAAUAAUGCCAUGUGAACGCGGUACUGAUCCUUAUACUGAACCUAAAAGACAAAAUAAAUUUAAAUUAUUGGAUAGUAAAAAUGAUAUGACAACCGAGAAAAUCAUUGAAAGAAUUAUUUUACACAGGUCAGAGGAGCUUUAUUCAAUUAUAGCGUGCUUGAACAAGCGAUAAUUCAUUGCAUUUUUAUAUUUUGUAAUUAGUUAUUGCUCAAAUUUCCAAUAAAACAUCCUUUAUUCUUGUUAAUAAUUAUCUCUAUUUUUUUUCUUUUUAAAUAUUUUUAGGUAUAUUUCUUUUAGAAAUAUAGCUAUUGUAGAGGGUCUCAUGUUGCAAUUUUCAAAGAAUUUUACUGUAAUAUGUUUUAUUUUGCCGAGAAACGCCGAAAAAUGCCAUCAAUUAAAAAAUUUAAAUAUGCAUGUAAUAUAACGCGCCAUGUCAGAUGCUGGCUACAAUUUUUAUCGGAUCUUAAUGAAACUUAGUACGCUUGUUCUUUGAGAAAUUACCUUGAUCAAGUUCGAAGAUGAGCAAAAUUGAUCGAAUAAUUUAGAAGAUGUGGGUGUUUUAAUUUUUUUUAAUUUUCGUAAAAAUAGCAUUUUAUAUAAAACGACAACUUAAUUUCGUAAAAUACAUCUUGUAGUUCGUGAAAUUAGCUUUAAUUUUCACUACAUAAACUUGUGUUUUAUAAAAAUUUCUUUAAACAAAUUAAUGAUUUCGAAUAUUUGAAAAAAAUUGAAAUAAUUUGAAAAUAAGAAAUAUACCUUUUCAUUCCGGGUAUGGCCGGGUGGCACUUUUUAUAUUAAUUUGUUUUUAUUAUUACUUUUUUUUUUUUUUGCAUCGUGACAUCACAUUACAAUUGCUUCCUACCUGAUAAGAUAAAAGAGUUACAAAUAACUAUUCAAAUAUUAUUAACGAAUCGCUAUCGAAUAGUUAACUGUAUUCUUUACUUGAAAUAAUUAUAAACGAUUAUUUGUAUAUUAUAACGAAGUUGAUAGCAUUGAAAUGUUGGAAUUCGAGGAUAGAAAUUUAAAAAAGGAGAAAAAAGAAAUUGCUGCUCACGAAGCCUUCAUUAAAUCACAAAAAAAGGAAAU